Molecule: long non-coding RNA, 555 nt
Filed under: Actinidia chinensis (golden kiwifruit)
Lineage: Eukaryota; Viridiplantae; Streptophyta; Magnoliopsida; Ericales; Actinidiaceae
Description: long non-coding RNA (ACHI_LNC000064)
Source: RNAcentral
GGGGGCACGUUCCUUGUCUCUUUUUCAAUUCUCUCCUCAGGAUUGUUCCCUGCUUAGCUAAAGGUUUCCGCAUAAGGGAGUCGCAAUCUCCGCGUAGCGUUAACCGUUAACUAGCACUCCCUUGUGACCCUCCAAACCACAGCCUCCGCGGAGUCCCCCAGGCAACGUACCUGUCACGAGGCUGGUGCCGAAAUUCGCCCUCUACAUUUUGCCCCUGCCUAAUAGAAGCAUCUGGGUCACGCGCUUCUGUCAGGAAUGCAGCAGAGGGUGGUGGAGCCUCCCUGCAUCUUCUUCGAAUAACUUUGAUAGAGCGAGUGGCUGCAUCUAUGAAGCUUGAAUCUAUCAAGCUAGUGUAGAUAUGGCUCGAGGAGCUUCAAAACCUUUCGAAUGGAGCUAGUGAGAGGAGAGCUUAUCAUCCAACAUGCUUCACUUCAUUUAAAUCACCAUGUUCCUUGCAUGAAAGAAACAAAUUGUCAAUUAGAACCUGGGCAAGAUCACAAAAUCAGUCGUACAUUAUUUUCUUAUCGCCAUUUAUAAUAUCUACUUUAAUUCUCA